This 479-nucleotide ribosomal RNA is filed under the name uncultured bacterium. Its description in RNAcentral is "partial 16S ribosomal RNA". It matches the Rfam family "Bacterial small subunit ribosomal RNA", at positions 29 to 507 of the family's 1533-position model. The record is from RNAcentral.
ACGAACGCUGGCGGCGUGCUUAACACAUGCAAGUCGAACGUUGAAGAAAAGAAUUGCAGCUUCGGCAGAAAUUCAUUUCGGAUUAGUGGCAGACGGGUGAGUAACGCGUGAGCAACCUACCUCUUACAAAGGGAUAGCCUCGGGAAACCGGGAUUAAUACCAUAUAACAUUGCGACGUAGCAUUUCGAUGCAAUCAAAGCUACGGCGGUAAGAGAUGGGCUCGCGUCCCAUUAACCAGAUGGUGAGGUAACGGCUCACCAUAGUAACGAUGGGUAACCGGCCUGAGAGGGUGAACGGUCACACUGGAACUGAGACACGGUCCAGACUCCUACGGGAGGCAGCAGUGGGGAAUAUUGCACAAUGGAGGGAACUCUGAUGCAGCGACGCCGCGUGAGUGAUGAAGGAAUUCGUUUCGUAAAACUCUGUUCUAUGGGAAGAAAAGGACUGUACCAUAGGAGAAAGCUCCGGCUAAAUACGUG